Molecule: ribosomal RNA, 926 nt
Filed under: uncultured bacterium
Lineage: Bacteria
Also listed under: 1 other name
Description: bacterial SSU rRNA
Rfam family: Bacterial small subunit ribosomal RNA
Source: RNAcentral
UGGAUCCAGACUUUGAUUAUGGCUCAGGAUGAACGCUAGCUACAGGCUUAACACAUGCAAGUCGAGGGGAAACGACAUCGAAAGCUUGCUUUUGAUGGGCGUCGACCGGCGCACGGGUGAGUAACGCGUAUCCAACCUGCCCAUCACUCGGGGAUAACCUUGCGAAAGUAAGACUAAUACCCAAUGACGUCUCUAGAAGACAUCUGAAAGAGAUUAAAGAUUUAUCGGUGAUGGAUGGGGAUGCGUCUGAUUAGCUUGUUGGCGGGGUAACGGCCCACCAAGGCUACGAUCAGUAGGGGUUCUGAGAGGAAGGUCCCCCACAUUGGAACUGAGACACGGUCCAAACUCCUACGGGAGGCAGCAGUGAGGAAUAUUGGUCAAUGGACGAGAGUCUGAACCAGCCAAGUAGCGUGCAGGAUGACGGCCCUAUGGGUUGUAAACUGCUUUUAUAAGGGAAUAAAGUGAGUCUCGUGAGACUUUUUGCAUGUACCUUAUGAAUAAGGACCGGCUAAUUCCGUGCCAGCAGCCGCGGUAAUACGGAAGGUUCGGGCGUUAUCCGGAUUUAUUGGGUUUAAAGGGAGCGUAGGCCGGAGAUUAAGCGUGUUGUGAAAUGUAGAUGCUCAACAUCUGCACUGCAGCGCGAACUGGUUUCCUUGAGUACGCACAAAGUGGGCGGAAUUCGUGGUGUAGCGGUGAAAUGCUUAGAUAUCACGAAGAACUCCGAUUGCGAAGGCAGCUCACUGGAGCGCAACUGACGCUGAAGCUCGAAAGUGCGGGUAUCGAACAGGAUUAGAUACCCUGGUAGUCCGCACGGUAAACGAUGGAUGCCCGCUGUUGGUCUGAAUAGGUCAGCGGCCAAGCGAAAGCAUUAAGCAUCCCACCUGGGGAGUACGCCGGCAACGGUGCAACUCAAAUGAAUUGACGGA